RNAcentral lists this ribosomal RNA (479 nucleotides) under uncultured bacterium. RNAcentral's name for it is "bacterial SSU rRNA". It matches the Rfam family "Bacterial small subunit ribosomal RNA", at positions 29 to 506 of the family's 1533-position model. The record is from RNAcentral.
GUGAACGCUGGCGGCGUGCCUAACACAUGCAAGUCGUGCGCGAAAGGGAGCAAUCCUGAGUAAAGCGGCGAACGGGUGAGUAACACAUCGGAACGUACCCAGUUGUGGGGGAUAGCCCGGCGAAAGCCGGAUUAAUACCGCAUACGACCUGAGGGUGAAAGGGGGGGAUCGCAAGACCUCUCGCAGUUGGAGCGGCCGAUGGCGGAUUAGCUAGUUGGUGGGGUAAAGGCCUACCAAGGCGACGAUCCGUAGCUGGUCUGAGAGGACGACCAGCCACACUGGAACUGAGACACGGUCCAGACUCCUACGGGAGGCAGCAGUGGGGAAUUUUGGACAAUGGGGGCAACCCUGAUCCAGCCAUUCCGCGUGAGUGAAGAAGGCCUUCGGGUUGUAAAGCUCUUUCGGCAGGAACGAAACGGUGGAGGCUAAUACCUUUCAUCAAUGACGGUACCUGAAGAAGAAGCACCGGCUAACUACGU